Molecule: long non-coding RNA, 872 nt
Filed under: Octopus vulgaris (common octopus)
Lineage: Eukaryota; Metazoa; Mollusca; Cephalopoda; Octopoda; Octopodidae
Source: RNAcentral
GCAGCAGCGGCAGCGGCAGCAGCAGCAGCAGCAACGGCAGCAUCGGCGGCGGCGGCAGCGGCAGUCAGGAGAAUCAACAGCACGAGCCAAAAGCAGACGGCAGCAGCAGCAAACGAAACCAGAGAGAGGGAGAGAGAGAGAGAGAGAGAGAGAGAGAGAGAGAGAGAGAGCGAGAGACACAGAGUGAAAGAGUGAAAGAGAAAAAUACGAGAGAGGGAGAGAAAGAGGGAGAAAGAACGAGAGAGAGAGAGAGAGAAAGAACGAGAGAGGGUGAGAUUAAGUAGAAGUAAAAACGGUCAGAAGCCGUGUGGAAUGAUGUUGGGAAGCUAAAUGCCUGCUGCUACAGUCUGUAGUACUGCAAGACAUAGUAAGAACUAGUAGUAAAAAAAACACGAUGGUGAUCGUUAACUGUCCAAACAUCACCUCUGUCACUGUUAACAAAACCAAAGCCAAAAUCACCAUCGGUACCAAUAUCAACAACAACAACAAGAAUACAGAUAAUACUACUACUAAUAACAGCUAUAACAAUAAUAGUAAUAAUAGUAAUAAUAGUAAUAGUAUCAAUAAUAGUAAUAAUAGUCAUAAUAAUAGUCAUAAUAAUAGUCAUAAUAAUAAUAAUAAUAGUCAUAAUUCUAGCCAUUUUCAUUGGCGUCGUACGCCAAACAGCAAUGACAUCAAUAAGUGUAGACUCGAGGGCCGCUGUCUCAAAGAUCGCACGAGAAGCAAAUCUUUGUUGCAUUCUAUGGGACUUCUUUACAACAAGGCUUUGUUGAUUAACAUCAUAAUAACCCUGGAAAUUAUACAAGUCGGAUGCUAUUCGGAUAUCAACACGGAAUGUCAUCUUAGCUGCCAGACAUACAGCGAGGUAAGAA